UACCCUUUUUCCUGUAUUCCUGUAUUUCUAUUGGAUAAAAUUGGUCAGCUGUUACUUUAUUGGUCAUGUGACAAUUUUAGUGGGAAAUUUCUUUGUUAAACCAGUUCCUAUUUGGAAGUCUACUUGUGUUUACUUGAAAUUUACAUUCUUUAUCAGAUUAUCAACUACAGUAUUAUUUGUACACCCUGAAUAUUUUUCCUAAUCAACCUUUACACCUCAUGUGAGGUAAGCAUUGUUUAAACAUGGUUUAAGCUUAGUUCAUGUAUAGUUAUAUAUAAAUAUAUAUCAUAGUAUUCGUAGCAUUAUGAAACUGAUUAAUAUUUCUACAAUUUAAUUAUAAACUCAUGUGAAAUAAGUUUGACAUGAUAACGUACAGUUCUAUUUAAACAGAUGUGAUUAUUAUUGUUUAUUUAUGUAAUAAGCAGAUAAUUUAAAUAUAGACACAAAUAUUUUUGAGUCUAGUUUGUAAAGAGGAAUAUUUUCAUAUUUUGUCAAAACUACAUGCUUGUAAGAGUUAUCUUUCCUAACUCGCAUUUAUUUCAUUGCAGGGUUUAUUUAUACCUAUUUUGUAAUUGAUUACAUCAAAUAAAGAAGUAAACUGAA
Molecule: long non-coding RNA, 603 nt
Organism: Magallana angulata
Lineage: Eukaryota; Metazoa; Mollusca; Bivalvia; Ostreida; Ostreidae
Exons: 2
Source: RefSeq, a predicted model, not a curated record